GGGAACGUGCCUUUUGGUUCGGAAUAGCUCCUGGAAACGGGUGGUAAUGCCGAAUGUGCCCUUCGGGGGAAAGAUUUAUCGCCAUUAGAGCGGCCCGCGUCUGAUUAGCUAGUUGGUGAGGUAAAGGCUUACCAAGGCUACGAUCAGUAGCUGGUCUGAGAGGAUGACCAGCCACAUUGGGACUGAGACACGGCCCAAACUCCUACGGGAGGCAGCAGUGGGGAAUCUUGCGCAAUGGGCGAAAGCCUGACGCAGCCAUGCCGCGUGAAUGAUGAAGGUCUUAGGAUUGUAAAAUUCUUUCACCGGGGACGAUAAUGACGGUACCCGGAGAAAAAGCCCCGGCUAACUUCGUGCCAGCAGCCGCGGUAAUACGAAGGGGGCUAGCGUUGCUCGGAAUUACUGGGCGUAAAGGGAGCGUAGGCGGACAUUUAAGUCAGGGGUGAAAUCCCAGAGCUCAACUCUGGAACUGCCUUUGAUACUGGAUGUCUUGAGUGUGAGAGAGGUAUGUGGAACUCCGAGUGUAGAGGUGAAAUUCGUAGAUAUUCGGAAGAACACCAGUGGCGAAGGCGACAUACUGGCUCAUUACUGACGCUGAGGCUCGAAAGCGUGGGGAGCAAACAGGAUUAGAUACCCUGGUAGU
RNAcentral lists this ribosomal RNA (640 nucleotides) under Brevundimonas sp. B136_2. RNAcentral's name for it is "bacterial SSU rRNA". It matches the Rfam family "Bacterial small subunit ribosomal RNA", at positions 120 to 794 of the family's 1533-position model. Lineage: Bacteria; Pseudomonadati; Pseudomonadota; Alphaproteobacteria; Caulobacterales; Caulobacteraceae. The record is from RNAcentral.